Non-coding RNA from Oncorhynchus mykiss (rainbow trout), 612 nucleotides. The record is from RefSeq and is a predicted model, not a curated record. Lineage: Eukaryota; Metazoa; Chordata; Actinopteri; Salmoniformes; Salmonidae.
GUGCUGCUGAUAAAGUGACACUACUUUGAAUUAUACCGUUUAGCGACUUCAGUACAUGCCUCAUAGCUCCUGUCUCAAACUUAACCCCAUUCCUUCUGAAGAAGAGGAGAUCUGCUAGAUGGAGAAAGAAGCUCUCGUGAAAGAGGAGGAGGAAGAGGAGGCUGUUACAAUACAAAAACAAGUAGAGGUUGAGGCUGUUACCGUGAAAGAAGAAGAGAAAGACGUCACCGUUAAAUAAGAGGAAGACUCGUUCAGAGUUAAAGAGGACGACGACGUUUCAGUGAAAGAAGAGGAGGGGGAGGUGACUGUCACAUCGAACAAUGAAGAAGAGGAGGAAACUGGAUAUCUGGGCCCGGUUUCCCAAACGCAUCUUAAGGCGUCCGAUAGUUCUAACGAUUAACACUAGAGAGAGACGUGACUAUCGUGGAUCCUCUGGGGAGCCUCAACAACCUCAUGAUGCUGAUGAGGCAGAGAAGAGUCUCUCCACCUCAAAACACCUCAAGAAACACCAGCAGAGACCCACAGGGAAGAAAUCUCAUUGCUGCUCGGACUGUGGGAAAGGUUGCAAAUCUUCAUCAGAACUUAAAAUACACCAGAGAACACACACAGGAG